RNAcentral lists this ribosomal RNA (468 nucleotides) under uncultured bacterium. RNAcentral describes it as "partial 16S ribosomal RNA". It matches the Rfam family "Bacterial small subunit ribosomal RNA", at positions 28 to 523 of the family's 1533-position model. The record is from RNAcentral.
GAUGAACGCUGGCGGCGUGCCUAACACAUGCAAGUCGAGCGAUUUACUUCGGUAAAGAGCGGCGGACGGGUGAGUAACGCGUGGGUAACCUGCCCUGUACACACGGAUAACAUACCGAAAGGUAUGCUAAUACGAGAUAAUAUACUUUUAUCAAAUGGUAGAAGUAUCAAAGCUUUUGCGGUACAGGAUGGACCCGCGUCUGAUUAGCUAGUUGGUAAGGUAACGGCUUACCAAGGCGACUAUCAGUAGCCGACCUGAGAGGGUGAUCGGCCACAUUGGAACUGAGACACGGUCCAAACUCCUACGGGAGGCAGCAGUGGGGAAUAUUGCACAAUGGGCGAAAGCCUGAUGCAGCAACGCCGCGUGAGCGAUGAAGGCCUUCGGGUCGUAAAGCUCUGUCCUCAAGGAAGAUAAUGACGGUACUUGAGGAGGAAGCCCCGGCUAACUACGUGCCAGCCGCCGCGGUAA